GGUAGUUUCCUGUUGUUGGGAUCCACCUUUCUCUCGACAGCACGACACUGCCUUCAUUACUUCAGUUG
Panthera tigris altaica (Amur tiger) is the source of this 68-nucleotide microRNA precursor. Lineage: Eukaryota; Metazoa; Chordata; Mammalia; Carnivora; Felidae. The record is from Ensembl.